UGGGGAAUUUUGGACAAUGGGCGAAAGCCUGAUCCAGCAAUGCCGCGUGUGUGAAGAAGGCCUUCGGGUUGUAAAGCACUUUUGUCCGGAAAGAAAUCCUUGGCUCUAAUACAGUCGGGGGAUGACGGUACCGGAAGAAUAAGCACCGGCUAACUACGUGCCAGCAGCCGCGGUAAUACGUAGGGUGCAAGCGUUAAUCGGAAUUACUGGGCGUAAAGCGUGCGCAGGCGGUUUGCUAAGACCGAUGUGAAAUCCCCGGGCUCAACCUGGGAACUGCAUUGGUGACUGGCAGGCUAGAGUAUGGCAGAGGGGGGUAGAAUUCCACGUGUAGCAGUGAAAUGCGUAGAGAUGUGGAGGAAUACCGAUGGCGAAGGCAGCCCCCUGGGCCAAUACUGACGCUCAUGCACGAAAGCGUGGGGAGCAAACAGGAUUAGAUACCCUGGUAGUCACGCCCUAAACGAUGUCAACUAGUUGUUGGGGAUUCAUUUCCUUAGUAACGUAGCUAACGCGUGAAGUUGACCGCCUGGGGAGUACGGUCG
RNAcentral lists this ribosomal RNA (539 nucleotides) under uncultured bacterium. Its description in RNAcentral is "partial 16S ribosomal RNA". It matches the Rfam family "Bacterial small subunit ribosomal RNA", at positions 355 to 888 of the family's 1533-position model. The record is from RNAcentral.